ACGGAUUUUCCAACAAACAAAACCAGUUCAGAUUGCAGUAAAGAGUCUUCUCCUGUGUUGUUCAGGUGUCCUCCUAGAAGCACCUGUGGUGUGUGAUGUAGCUAUGAGAUGCUGCCACGGAAAUAUGAGAUCCUUUAUACCUCAGGGGAGUGAGGAGGAGUCCCCUGGUAAUGAUGUCAGCAGGAGGUUGUCUUCAUGAAACAAAAAACACCACCUGUUCACAUACACGGUGGAGGAGGGGAGCUGGAAGCAGGGCGGGUGAGGAGGAAUUGUAGCCUGAUGUGGGAGAUUCACACAGCGACAAGGAAAUCCAAGCUGUGGUUUAAAGUGGAGCAAAUAAGGAAAUUAAAUGAGGUCUGACCAAAUACAUCACUUAUUCUCUUAGAGGAAUGUUCAGUUCCUUAAACACAAGGCAGCAGUGGAGAACAGAGAGGUAGCUGCAGCCUCUGGCUACCUAGAAAAGCUUGUUUCCCUCCUGUUGUAGGAGCUUUGAGCAAUUGACCUCGGUGCAGCGGAAUAUGCUAUACGACUCUGGGGGUGCACGCUGUACCUUGUUGGUUUCUCUUCCUGUGGCGGACAACUGCAGCAGAGGAUGCACCCCCCAAUGAGCAGGAAGGCCGCGGCAGCCCAGCCCAGAUACAGCGCCGCCCCGAUCUCCAUCUUCUGACCAGAGGGAAUGAGUGGACUGUAAAACUCAAUGACGAUGGUGUGUGCUGACCAGGAAACAGGCACCAGCUGGGCCAGAGCUGCGGCGAUGAAUGCCCCGCCUGAGGAAGCCAUCACCCUGGCUUUAACCCCGUCAUCAUCGAUGCAGUUGGUGCACUUUGCUCCCACCAUAGAGAUGAGGAGAGCCACCACCCCCACAAUGAUGGACACGAUGGUGAGUGCCCUGGCGGCCUGCAGGUCCUGAGGUAAAGCCAGCAUGGAGUCGUAGACCUUACACUGCAUCUGGCCCGUGCUCUGGAACACGCAGCUCAUCCACAGGCCUUCCCAGUACACCUGAGCUGUGACAAUGUUGGCGCCAAUGAAUGCGGAGACCCUCCACAUCGGCAAGGCGCAGCUGAUAAUACUCAGCACCCAGCCGAGCGCUGAUAGAGUGACACCGGUCAGUUCAAGUCCAAAAGACACCAUUGUGCAGCAAGACAAGCGUCCCCUCUUUGGAUCGAAAGUUUUUAUUUGUCCUUCCUCGCCUCUUGGUCCUUUUUCCCCUUUAUUGUCUUUUCUUUAUUGUCCUUGCUUCCCUUGCCCCCGUUUAUUUUCCAGCAAAUAUUCUGAAGGCCUUCCUGAUUUUUGAGCUCCUCUUUGUCAGCUCUUCCCUCCGCCAGGUAAGCCUCCUCCUCAAACUGUAGCUACUGCACCGGCUGCUGAAUCCAGGAGUAUCGACUGAUUGACAGUGUGCUUCCUCCACAAACUCUCUGCUGCGCGUACGUGCCAGCAUAAAUGUUGCCUUCCUUCUGUUUCUCGUAAGGAGUCGAUGACCCUUAUCUGUGUAUCUUUUUAUUGUCGUGGUCAGGCCCUCCUAAGAUAUGACAUCAUCGGCUAAACCAAGCCAAUCAGGUGAGUCCUGGGCAAUGGCCUCGUUUAGCACCUGGGUGUGUGGGUGUUCGUUUGUGUGCUUUUUCAAAUGAAGAGUAUUUUUAUGGUUUAACCUUUUGCCCAUGGUAGCUCUGGGUGUGUUUGUUUUAUUGCUGUCGAAAGGUAAUGAGUGGCCAAGGCAGAACUUGUUAUGUGGUUGAUAGGUGACCACAAGAGACUGUAACGGAUAUACAAACAUGUAUUCUUGAUGUGUAUGUGUUUAAGUGUGUGCAUGUAUCCAGUGUGUGUGUUUGAGUGGAAUUGUGUUUGAGAGAGACAAAGGAAUAAAAAAGGGGAAAUUUAGCACAUAUUAAAACGUAGCAGGCUUUUUCUGUCUCUUUUCUUUCCUUAUUUUCAAAAAAGGUUUUGUUGUGAUGUGUCAUGUUUUUAUAGCUUUGACUGAAACAUGAUGUUAAAGUUGUUUUUACAGCAGAAACUUGUACCAUCCCCACUAGGUUACACAGUCUAUGGGUAAUCAUACAAUAAAAUUCCAGUUAAUGGCAAACUAGAAAUGCUAAGAAUAUAUUUUAUAGAUGUGUAUUGGUCUUUGGCCCUCUGUGAACUAACUGCAAUGUUUUUGUAGCUCAGAACAUUUUAGUUUCUGUUCUGUUUGGGGCACAAACUACAGUAUACAUGAACAGUGUGAUAAAUACAAUACCACGAAAAGACCAAGACCAACAACGUGUUAGUUGUCCCUUCUCUGUUUGUAGCGCACAGCUCUAACCCUUUUGGUACAUACUGAAGACGUAAAUAUUUAUAAAAAGGGGUCACAGAUAUAUAGUUAAUUUCCCAAAACAGUUGGGCAACGUAGUUUUCAGUUUACAUUACUCAAACUGGAAUAAGAAUAGGAAAAACUAUAUUUGUUGGGGACUAUUUCUAGCUGCGGAUUAAUUCACAGUUAGUACACUAAUGGUUAUUUAUAGCAGCACAACUGUGUAUUUAAUCGAUUUUGGACAACAAAGGAGGUCUUUGCUGAAGGAUGAUCUAUAUCAGGCUUUGGAUAAACAGAUAAAAUUGGUUGUUGAUCAAUUGUUAAAAAAGAAUAUGCCCAGACUUUCCUUUUAAACAUCUUAACAUGAGAUAACAGAAAUGUGUUUUGUUUCACGGUUGGCAUAUUGGAGUUUUAUCUGCCUGAGCAUGAGUGAGCAAAAUAUUUUCCACCAGGCAGACUACGCGACUGCUGUUCCAUCCUGUGUCUAAUGGCUGAUGACAUGGAUUCUGGUUUCUCCCUUAAACCAGGUCUGAAUGACUCUGUGGGUUCAUGUGAUGUAUGCCUGCACAGAUUUAUACAGUGCCACUAUCAGACUCUGACACACUUUUAUCUUGUAUAUGUGUACACAUUAUCACACUUCAAUAUUAGUCACACACAUGCUGCUAAAGAAUUGGCUCACCCCUGUAACCACAAUAAGAUAAAGCCUGAUAAAAAGCAAUUAACUGAUAUUAUCUUGGUAUUUAGGAAGGAAAUAAACAAUCUAACAACAAUUCAAAUAA
Molecule: long non-coding RNA, 3066 nt
Organism: Dicentrarchus labrax (European seabass)
Lineage: Eukaryota; Metazoa; Chordata; Actinopteri; Moronidae
Exons: 3
Source: RefSeq, a predicted model, not a curated record